This 115-nucleotide ribosomal RNA is filed under the name Spirodela intermedia. Lineage: Eukaryota; Viridiplantae; Streptophyta; Magnoliopsida; Alismatales; Araceae. The record is from RNAcentral. RNAcentral also lists the same sequence under 1 other name.
GCGAUCAUACCAGCACUAAUGCACCGGAUCCCAUCAGAACUCCGAAGUUAAGCGUGCUUGGGCGAGAGUAGUACUAGGAUGGGUGACCUCCUGGGAAGUCCUCGUGUUGCACCCC